This 687-nucleotide ribosomal RNA is filed under the name Pseudomonas oryzihabitans. Its description in RNAcentral is "bacterial SSU rRNA". It matches the Rfam family "Bacterial small subunit ribosomal RNA", at positions 61 to 742 of the family's 1533-position model. The record is from RNAcentral. Lineage: Bacteria; Pseudomonadati; Pseudomonadota; Gammaproteobacteria; Pseudomonadales; Pseudomonadaceae.
GUCGAGCGGAUGAGAAGAGCUUGCUCUUCGAUUCAGCGGCGGACGGGUGAGUAAUGCCUAGGAAUCUGCCUGGUAGUGGGGGACAACGUUUCGAAAGGAACGCUAAUACCGCAUACGUCCUACGGGAGAAAGCAGGGGACCUUCGGGCCUUGCGCUAUCAGAUGAGCCUAGGUCGGAUUAGCUAGUUGGUGGGGUAAUGGCUCACCAAGGCGACGAUCCGUAACUGGUCUGAGAGGAUGAUCAGUCACACUGGAACUGAGACACGGUCCAGACUCCUACGGGAGGCAGCAGUGGGGAAUAUUGGACAAUGGGCGAAAGCCUGAUCCAGCCAUGCCGCGUGUGUGAAGAAGGUCUUCGGAUUGUAAAGCACUUUAAGUUGGGAGGAAGGGCAGUAAGCGAAUACCUUGCUGUUUUGACGUUACCGACAGAAUAAGCACCGGCUAACUCUGUGCCAGCAGCCGCGGUAAUACAGAGGGUGCAAGCGUUAAUCGGAAUUACUGGGCGUAAAGCGCGCGUAGGUGGUUUGUUAAGUUGAAUGUGAAAGCCCCGGGCUCAACCUGGGAACUGCAUCCAAAACUGGCAAGCUAGAGUACAGUAGAGGGUGGUGGAAUUUCCUGUGUAGCGGUGAAAUGCGUAGAUAUAGGAAGGGACACCAGUGGCGAAAGCGGACCACCUGGACUGAUACUG